RNAcentral lists this ribosomal RNA (468 nucleotides) under uncultured bacterium. Its description in RNAcentral is "partial 16S ribosomal RNA". It matches the Rfam family "Bacterial small subunit ribosomal RNA", at positions 28 to 507 of the family's 1533-position model. The record is from RNAcentral.
GACGAACGCUGGCGGCGUGCUUAACACAUGCAAGUCGAACGGAAAGGCCCUGCUUUUGUGGGGUUCUCGAGUGGCGAACGGGUGAGUAACACGUGAGUAACCUGCCCUUGACUUUGGGAUAACUUCAGGAAACUGGGGCUAAUACCGGAUAGGAGCUCCUGCUGCAUGGUGUGCGUUGGAAAGUUUCGGCGGUGGGGGCUGGACUCGCGGGUUAUCAGCUUGUUGGGGAGGUAGUGGCUUACCAAGGCUUUGACGGGUAGCCGGCCUGAGAGGGUGACCGGCCACAUUGGUCCUGCGAUAGGGCCCAGACGCGUACGGGAGGCAGCAGUGGGAAAUCUUGCGCAGUGGGCGGGCGCCUGAUGCAGCAACGCCGCGUGCGGGAUGACGGGCUUCGGGUUGUAAACCGCUUUCGCCUGUGACGAAGCGUGAGUGACGGUAAUGGGUAAAGAAGCCCCGGCUAACUACGUG